Molecule: ribosomal RNA, 253 nt
Filed under: uncultured bacterium
Lineage: Bacteria
Description: partial 16S ribosomal RNA
Rfam family: Bacterial small subunit ribosomal RNA
Source: RNAcentral
AACGUAGGUUCCGAGCGUUAUCCGGAUUUACUGGGCGUAAAGCGCGUUCAGGCGGUUUGGCAAGUCGGGCAUGAAAUCCUUCGGCUCAACCGGGGGAGGUUGUCCGAUACUGCUGAACUGGAGGGCAGUAGAGGGUGGUGGAAUUCCGGGUGUAGUGGUGAAAUGCGUAGAGAUCCGGAGGAACACCAGUGGCGAAGGCGACUACCUGGCCUGUUCUUGACGCUGAGGCGCGAAAGCUAGGGGAGCAAACGGG